CGUAGGGUGCGAGCGUUAAUCGGAAUUACUGGGCGUAAAGUGUGCGCAGGCGGCCGAGCAAGUCGAGUGUGAAAGCCCCGAGCUUAACUUGGGAACUGCGCUCGAAACUACUUGGCUAGAGUGUGGCAGAGGGAGGUGGAAUUCCACGUGUAGCGGUGAAAUGCGUAGAGAUGUGGAGGAACACCGAUGGCGAAGGCAGCCUCCUGGGCCAACACUGACGCUCAUGCACGAAAGCGUGGGGAGCAAACAGGAUUAGAUACCCUGGUAGUCCACGCCCUAAACGAUGAUGACUAGUUGUUGGAGGAGUUAAAUCCUUUAGUAACGCAGCUAACGCGUGAAGCCAUCCGCCUGGGGAGUACGGUCGCAAGAUUA
Molecule: ribosomal RNA, 372 nt
Filed under: uncultured organism
Description: bacterial SSU rRNA
Rfam family: Bacterial small subunit ribosomal RNA
Source: RNAcentral